AUGAAGUACGCUUUGAAAAUUUUAAUAUCAAUUUUCAUAGUAUGGACAGUUUCAUUAUUAACGAUUUUUAAGGAAAUGCAACGGGAAGUUUCAGAUGUGGAAGAUCAGAAACUGUAUGAGCAAGCAUUGAAACGAUUUAGAAAAGCUUACGCAAUGAGAAAUAAUUUUACAGAUCCACUCUCAACAUGGCAACUUGUGGGUCCGCCGAGUCGAAAGUUUUCCAUGGAAGAAAAACUUACAGCAGUGAAAUAUAGCGAGUUUCCACUAGGCAUAAAUGGAUCUCCUGUUGAUUUGGAAGACAAUAUUCGAGGUCAUAUUCGGAUUAUGAUAAGACAAGGAUGGAAAGAUUACUCCUUCAAUCAAUAUGUUAGUGAUCUUAUACCCAUCAAUCGCACUUUGCUGGAUUAUAGAGA
Long non-coding RNA from Pieris napi, 413 nucleotides. RefSeq lists it as uncharacterized. Lineage: Eukaryota; Metazoa; Arthropoda; Insecta; Lepidoptera; Pieridae. The transcript is spliced from 3 exons. The record is from RefSeq and is a predicted model, not a curated record.